This 604-nucleotide ribosomal RNA is filed under the name Salmonella enterica. RNAcentral describes it as "bacterial SSU rRNA". It matches the Rfam family "Bacterial small subunit ribosomal RNA", at positions 1 to 594 of the family's 1533-position model. RNAcentral also lists the same sequence under 1 other name. Lineage: Bacteria; Pseudomonadati; Pseudomonadota; Gammaproteobacteria; Enterobacterales; Enterobacteriaceae. The record is from RNAcentral.
AAAUUGAAGAGUUUGAUCAUGGCUCAGAUUGAACGCUGGCGGCAGGCCUAACACAUGCAAGUCGAACGGUAACAGGAAGCAGCUUGCUGCUUCGCUGACGAGUGGCGGACGGGUGAGUAAUGUCUGGGAAACUGCCUGAUGGAGGGGGAUAACUACUGGAAACGGUGGCUAAUACCGCAUAACGUCGCAAGACCAAAGAGGGGGACCUUCGGGCCUCUUGCCAUCAGAUGUGCCCAGAUGGGAUUAGCUGGUUGGUGAGGUAACGGCUCACCAAGGCGACGAUCCCUAGCUGGUCUGAGAGGAUGACCAGCCACACUGGAACUGAGACACGGUCCAGACUCCUACGGGAGGCAGCAGUGGGGAAUAUUGCACAAUGGGCGCAAGCCUGAUGCAGCCAUGCCGCGUGUAUGAAGAAGGCCUUCGGGUUGUAAAGUACUUUCAGCGGGGAGGAAGGUGUUGUGGUUAAUAACUGCAGCAAUUGACGUUACCCGCAGAAGAAGCACCGGCUAACUCCGUGCCAGCAGCCGCGGUAAUACGGAGGGUGCAAGCGUUAAUCGGAAUUACUGGGCGUAAAGCGCACGCAGGCGGUCUGUCAAGUCGGAUG